CACUUGCGUUAGCGAUUGUAAUGGUUAGCUCUUGCCGAGGCAAGCAUCGAGGCAAAACUAUAAAUGUAAAGCGCGACCCUUG
RNAcentral lists this unclassified non-coding RNA (82 nucleotides) under Algibacter luteus. RNAcentral describes it as "Arenitalea lutea Flavo-1 RNA". The record is from RNAcentral. Lineage: Bacteria; Pseudomonadati; Bacteroidota; Flavobacteriia; Flavobacteriales; Flavobacteriaceae.